UACUCAGGGGGCUGAGGCAGGAGGAUCUCUUGAUCCCAGAAGACUGAGGCUUCACUGAGCUAUGACCCCUACCACUGCACUCUAGCCUGGGCGACAGAGCAAGACUGUCUC
This is a long non-coding RNA of Sapajus apella (tufted capuchin), 111 nucleotides long. RefSeq lists it as uncharacterized. The record is from RefSeq and is a predicted model, not a curated record. The transcript is spliced from 2 exons. Lineage: Eukaryota; Metazoa; Chordata; Mammalia; Primates; Cebidae.